GGAGCUGUAGCUCAAGCGGCUAGAGCGCCGGCGUGUCAGGCCGGAGGUCGGGGGUUCGAGUCUCCCCAGCUUCG
RNAcentral lists this transfer RNA (74 nucleotides) under bacterium. RNAcentral describes it as "tRNA-Asp". It matches the Rfam family "tRNA". Rfam says of the family: Transfer RNA (tRNA) molecules are approximately 80 nucleotides in length. Their secondary structure includes four short double-helical elements and three loops (D, anti-codon, and T loops). The record is from RNAcentral.